AAUAACUGUUCCUUGAGCUAUAAGAAACACAGCAAUAGGACUUAGGGUUUCUAUAUUUAAUAUCUGUCAAGAAUACAAGUACUUAAGAGUAUAGACGACGAUGGUUGGAUCAUAUUUACCACCUGGUUUCAGAUUUCAUCCAACAGAUGAAGAACUUGUGGGUUAUUACCUGCACAGAAGAAACGAAGGGCUUGAGAUCGAGCUUGAAAUCAUUCCAUUUAUGGAUUUAUACAAGUUUGAUCCUUGGGAGCUUCCAGAGAAAUCUUUCUUGCCAAAUCGAGAUAUGGAAUGGUUUUUCUUCUGUCAUCGCGACAGAAAAUACCAGAACGGAUCUCGGAUAAACAGAGCUACUAAAUCUGGUUACUGGAAAGCCACAGGAAAAGAUCGAAAAAUCAUUUGUCAUACUACUUCUUCUUCCUUGUCUUCUUCUAUCAUUGGGUGUCGGAAAACCCUAGUUUUUCAUUUGGGUCGAGCCCCUUUUGGUGGUAGAACCGACUGGGUAAUGCAUGAGUAUCGCCUCUGCGACAGCGAUCCUUCACAAGGAUCAGUAAAUUUCAAAGUAACAAGAUCAUCUUAAACCAAAAAAGAUGGAAAGAACAAUACUUGUUUUCAUAGUUUACCAAUUGAUAAUUUUCUUUUGGUAUUCAUUUAUAGGGAGACUUUGCGUUGUGUCGUGUGAUAAAGCGGAAUGAGCAUACGGUUAAGAAAUGUGAAACUAACUCACCAGAGGUUUUAGAUGAGCCAUUGAGCAACAAUGUUGAGAGUUCUUGUCAAGCAAGUGACCUAGAAAAGGGUUCUUGUGAUUCAAGUAACACACGCUGGUCUUCUCCUGAUUUAAUCAUCCUUGAAUCAUCUUUUCAGGAAAAUUCACAAUCACAAACAGAAGAAGAUGUUGGUUUCCAAAUAUUUGCAUCGCCCUAAUUCGAGUAUCCACCAGCGUUCUUUGCAGAUUUGAAUUUCGAUUGGGAGAUAGAGAAUCCAUUCACAUUCGAUUAUCAUACAGAAGCUCAUAUGAACAAUGAAGUCAUGAACUAUCACAUUCUUCGGUAAAGCAAAACAUAUUUCACUAGAUUGAAUCUCAAAACCAAACACACUCCC
Molecule: RNA transcript, 1098 nt
Organism: Capsella rubella
Lineage: Eukaryota; Viridiplantae; Streptophyta; Magnoliopsida; Brassicales; Brassicaceae
Gene name: NAC domain-containing protein 71
Exons: 3
Source: RefSeq, a predicted model, not a curated record